ACAACUACCUUAUACACUCCAAAUGAACAAUAGUUUAUUUCUUGAGAAGGUCGCCUGUCGAGCUCGCAAAACUUUGAUGAGAUGGAGACUGCUUCACUUGCUUUGGCAAUGUUAACAUAUGUUUCCCAUGCCAACAAAGCCCCUUAAAUUGACUGCCGAUGGCAAGUUAGCUAGCCGACGUUUGUGCGACAGGUGGGUGGGCAGGUGUUGAACGGUUUCCUGCAUCACCUCUUCCUAUGACGGGUUUGAUCGAACCUCGUAGCUAGCAAGCGAGGAAACAUUUUCAUAUAUCUUCUGCUAACGUUACCUUCCCUGCCACGGUCGGAUAAAUUAUCCAGCUAACACAACAUGGGAAUAUGCAUAUUUCACUAAUAUAACUAGCUAAUCGGGUUGCUAAAUUUAGCUCUUAGUAAGUCGUCUGUUGCUUUUCAUGAGAAAAAAUUGACAUGCAGCACGUGCUGGGCGUCCAAACAUACACAGGGAGCCAAUCAGGUUAGUUAUAAAUAAGGGCAACCAACAAGGAACGUUAGAUACCAUUAGCUAGCUAGCUGCCUUCAAUACUUGGUGGCUUUACUGACAGACAAGACAUAACUCAUAUUAAAAGCCACCAAGCAUCGACCUAAAGGCUAAGCUAGCUAUCAUAUUAAACAAGUGUGUGUGUGCCUGUACAACAAGGAUCCUUCAAAACUAUCCAGCCCCAGCUAACACGGCUUGACAUAUCACGUUUUGACCCUCACCCUCUCUGCCAUCAGUGUUAAGUUGGCUGGAGGAGGUGCAGAUGAAGAUAAAGGAGGGGGAGGCCACCACUACAGAGUCUGUACAGAGUUUCUGUUACACACAUUUGAUUUACAGUUACAAAGUAAUGCCCACCCACUUCAACUGAUAUGGUGAGCCUUGGUCUAACUAAAACCACGUGUACUGUUCUCCCAUUCUCAAGGCAAAACUCCUGUGUGAGACCAAGGCCAUUCCCAACCUGAUAUACAGUAUAGAGCCGUAUGAGAAAUACCUCAUCAACCUCUCCAAGAAAUCAAAGUUAUGUAUGGGAGUGCUUUGGGAUGGGAGAUUGUCUCAAAUUGAAUGUAAGUGUCUACUUGUAACCAAACAUAAAGCAAGAUGAGGACACACAAUAGAAGAUAGAGCCUUGUUGGACAUUUCAGUAAAAUAACAUCUCCCAAACUAAACAAACACUGAAUUAUUGUAACUACAAGAUAAAACGGGUGUCUGUGUGUUGCAUAGGUGAAUCUUAUUCAGUACAUGAAGCUGAGAGAUUUCCGCAUCAACUGGAGGCAGUGCUGCAGGAGCAGGACAAGUCAGCAUCAACCAUGACAGCUAUCCAAAACAUUGGUUUAGUCUCCUAUUCACUCAGCUCCAUCAUGACCUGUCACACCAAAUACCCAAUAGUCUGAGCUAAAGUAUCAGUGUCUGACACCACAUAUCCAAUUGCGUGUUGAAGAGGAUAAGUGCUGCUUUGGAUCUUUUCCUUCUUUAGACCACAGCCUCUCAGGAGCCAGAGCAGAGCCAGGAGCCCAAGAG
This is a long non-coding RNA of Oncorhynchus keta (chum salmon), 1533 nucleotides long. RefSeq lists it as uncharacterized. The record is from RefSeq and is a predicted model, not a curated record. The transcript is spliced from 3 exons. Lineage: Eukaryota; Metazoa; Chordata; Actinopteri; Salmoniformes; Salmonidae.